Nematostella vectensis (starlet sea anemone) is the source of this 2114-nucleotide long non-coding RNA. RefSeq lists it as uncharacterized. The transcript is spliced from 2 exons. The record is from RefSeq and is a predicted model, not a curated record. NCBI's taxonomy places the organism in Eukaryota, Metazoa, Cnidaria, Anthozoa, Actiniaria, Edwardsiidae.
UUUUGUAACAUGAUGGGAUGUAAAAAAAGGGGUCAGCUAGUCCCUUUUGCAAUAAGAUGGGAUGUAAAAAAAGAGGUCAGCUAGUCCCUUUUGUAACAAGAUGGUAUGUAAAAGCAGAGGUCAGCUAGUCCCUUUUGCAAUAAGAUGGGAUGUAAAAAAAGAGGUCAGCUAGUCCCUUUUGCAAUAAGAUGGGAUGUAAAAAAAAGAGGUCAGCUAGUCCCUUUUGCAAUAAGAUGGGAUGUAAAAAAAGAGGUCAGCUAGUCCCUUUUGUAACAAGAUGGUAUGUAAAAGCAGAGGUCAGCUAGUCCCUUUUGCAAUAAGAUGGUAUGUAAAAGCAGAGGUCAGCUAGUUCCUUUUGCAAUAAGAUGGGAUGUAAAAAAAGAGGUCAGCUAGUCCCUUUUGCAAUAAGAUGGGAUGUAAAAAAAGAGGUCAGCUAGUCCCUUUUGCAAUAAGAUGGGAUGUAAAAAAAGAGGUCAGCUAGUCCCUUUUGCAAUAAGAUGGGAUGUAAAAAAAGAGGUCAGCUAGUCCCUUUUGUAACAAGAUGGGAUGUAAAAACAGAGGUCAGCUAGUCCCUUUUGCAAUAAGAUGGGAUGUAAAAAAAGAGGUCAGCUAGUCCCUUUUGCAAUAAGAUGGGAUGUAAAAAAAAAGGUCAGCUAGUCCCUUUUGCAAUAAGAUGGGAUGUAAAAAAAGAGGUCAGCUAGUCCCUUAUGUAACAAGAUGGGAUGUAAAAAAAGGGGUCAGCUAGUCCCUUUUGCAAUAAGAUGGGAUGUAAAAAAGAGGUCAGCUAGUCCCUUUUGCAAUAAGAUGGGAUGUAAAAAAAGAUGUUAGCUAGUCCCUUGUGUAAUAAGAUGGGAUGUAAAAAAAAGAGGUCAGCUAGUCCCUUUUGUAACAAGAUGGGAUGUAAAAAAAGAGGUCAGCUAGUCCCUUUUCUAAUAAGAUGGGAUGUAAAAAAGGGGUCAGCUAGCCCCUUUUGCAACAAGAUGGGAUGUAAAAAAAGAGGUCAGCUAGUCCCUUUUGUAACAAGAUGGGAUGUAAAAAAAGAGGUCAGCUAGUCCCUUUUGUAACAAGAUGGGAUGUAAAAAAAGGGGUCAGCUAGUCCCUUUUGUAACAAGAUGGGAUGUAAAAAAAGAGGUCAGGUAGUCCCUUUUGCGAUAAGAUGGGAUGUAAAAAAGAGGUCAGCUAGUCCUUUUGUAACAAGAUGGGAUGUAAAAAAAGAGGUCAGCUAGUCCCUUUUGUAACAAGAUGGGAUGUAAAAAAAGAGGUCAGCUAGUCCCUUUUGUAACAAGAUGGGAUGUAAAAAAAGAGGUCAGCUAGUCCCUUUUGUAACAAGAUGGGAUGUAAAAAAAGAGGUCAGCUAGUCCCUUUUGCAAUAAGAUGGGAUGUAAAAAAGAGGUCAGCUAGUCUCUUUUGUAACAAGAUGGGAUGUAAAAAAAGAGGUCAGCUAGUCCCUUUUGUAAUAAGAUGGGAUGUAAAAAAGGGGUCAGCUAGUCCCUUUUGUAAUAAGAUGGGAUGUAAAAAAAGAGGUUAGCUAGUCCCUUUUGUAACAAGAUGGGAUGUAAAAAAAGAGGUCAGCUAGUCCCUUUUGUAACAAGAUGGGAUGUAAAAAAAGAGGUCAGCUAGUCCCUUUUGUAACAAGAGGGGAUGUAAAAAAAGGGGUCAGCUAGCCCCUUUUGCAACAAGAUGGGAUGUAAAAAAAGAGGUCAGCUAGUCCCUUUUGUAACAAGAUGGGAUGUAAAAAAAGAGGUCAGCUAGUCCCUUUUGUAACAAGAUGGCAUGUAAAAAAAGGGGUCAGCUAGCCCCUUUUGCAACAAGAUGGGAUGUAAAAAAGAGGUCAGCUAGUCCCUUUUGUAACAAGAUGGGAUGUAAAAAAAGGGGUCAGCUAGUCUCUUUUGUAACAAGAUGGGAUGUAAAAAAAGGGGUCAGCUAGCCCUUUUGUAAUAAGAUGGGAUGUAAAAAAAGAGGUCAGCUAGUCCCUUUUGUAACAAGAUGGGAUGUAAAAAAAGGGGUCAGCUAGUCCCUUUUGCAAUAAGAUGGGAUGUAAAAAAAGAGGUCAGCUAGUCCCUUUUGUAACAAGAUGGGAUGUAAAAAAAGAGGUCAGCUAGUCCCUUUUGUAA